Molecule: ribosomal RNA, 253 nt
Filed under: uncultured bacterium
Lineage: Bacteria
Description: partial 16S ribosomal RNA
Rfam family: Bacterial small subunit ribosomal RNA
Source: RNAcentral
UACGGAGGGUGCUAGCGUUGUUCGGAAUCACUGGGCGUAAAGGGCGUGUAGGCGGUCUGUUAAGUCUGAUGUGAAAUCCCCUCGCUCAACGAGGGAACUGCGUCGGAUACUGGCAGACUCGAGUACCGGAGAGGAAGGUGGAAUUCCCGGUGUAGCGGUGAAAUGCGUAGAUAUCGUGAGGAAGACCAGUGGCGAAGGCGGAUCUCUGGACAGUUCCUGACACUGAGGCACGAAGGCCAGGGGAGCAAACGGG